CAAACUAAGAUCAGAGGGAGUGCUAAAUUUGAUCCAGGGCAAAAGUGAUUCCUUUUCACUUAAUGGAGAGCCAAGGGCAAUAGAACCCAAUCUAGGAGGCAUGCACACAUUCCACAUGUCAAAAGAAAGUGAAACGUAACUUCUUGGAACCAGAAACAGCACAGGACAGAAAACACAAUUAAAUAGCAAGUUGACCAUCUUUAGAUUGUGAGUCGAUCAACAGCUGUCUUAAUAUCAAAGAGCUCAUUCUAACACAAACGAACCCAUAAACCAUGGUCUUAAGCUACAAUCCCGAUAAACAAAAUCAUCACAGUGUUCGCAGAAUUCAAACAUCAACAGAGAGGACAGCACCCCACGCACGCAUUGGAUCUGAAGACCUGUUGGGUGCUCCCACUUGCUGAAGAGUCGCUUCUUCACUCCAUGGUAGCUCCAGAACCGAAAGUGCCGCCGCCGCCUCCACGGCCAAAGGGCCUGGCAGCACCACCAGCACCCUGGAGAAACAAUUACAGAUUGUACAAAAUUAGAUAACCAGAAGGAAGUAUAGAGUUUAUAUGUGCAAUUAAGGAAUGGUUUACAUAGUAGAGUCUAUAUGUGCAAUGAAGGAAUGUUUUACAUAGUACAGCACCAGAAUUGAAAACUGUUUUACAUAGAACAGAAACAGAGCUGAGAACUGCCAAGCUAUGAUCAAGCCUCAUAGGAAACCAGAGCUUAACACUACAAUCUAUGAUCAAGCUAAAAACCAAUACAGUAUCACAGUAGAAUAUUUCCAACAUAUAAUGAGAGAAUCAGAGUCCAGUUAUCAAAACUGGUUCGAAUGCUAGAAGCUAGAAACGUAAUCAUGUCAUGAAUGCACACCUAAGUUGAUGCCAACAAUCAUAUGAAAUUUAACAACGGUAAUUGCAGUCCUUACCCUGAAAGCUGGCUGGUACUCAGCAGGAGCUCCACCCUUCUCACCAGCAAAAUCACCUGGAGCACCACGUGGGCCUCCUCUGUAACCAUCCCUGUCACCAUACCUGGGCCUGUCACCCUCAAAACGAGGAGG
Molecule: long non-coding RNA, 1042 nt
Filed under: Triticum aestivum (bread wheat)
Lineage: Eukaryota; Viridiplantae; Streptophyta; Magnoliopsida; Poales; Poaceae
Description: long non-coding RNA (TAES_LNC026463)
Source: RNAcentral